RNAcentral lists this ribosomal RNA (240 nucleotides) under uncultured bacterium. RNAcentral's name for it is "partial 16S ribosomal RNA". It matches the Rfam family "Bacterial small subunit ribosomal RNA", at positions 15 to 235 of the family's 1533-position model. The record is from RNAcentral.
GAUCAUGACUCAGGAUGAACGCUGGCGGCGUGCUUAACACAUGCAAGUCGAGCGAAGCACUUAGGAAAGAUUCUUCGGAUGAUUUCCUAUUUGACUGAGCGGCGGACGGGUGAGUAACGCGUGGGUAACCUGCCUCAUACAGGGGGAUAACAGUUAGAAAUGACUGCUAAUACCGCAUAAGACCACAGCACCGCAUGGUGCAGGGGUAAAAACGUACCGUGGUAUGAGAUGGACCCGCCG